Molecule: ribosomal RNA, 501 nt
Filed under: uncultured bacterium
Lineage: Bacteria
Description: partial 16S ribosomal RNA
Rfam family: Bacterial small subunit ribosomal RNA
Source: RNAcentral
AUUGAACGCUGGCGGCAGGCUUAACACAUGCAAGUCGAGCGGAGAUGAGGUGCUUGCACCUUAUCUUAGCGGCGGACGGGUGAGUAAUGCUUAGGAAUCUGCCUAUUAGUGGGGGACAACAUUCCGAAAGGAAUGCUAAUACCGCAUACGUCCUACGGGAGAAAGCAGGGGAUCUUCGGACCUUGCGCUAAUAGAUGAGCCUAAGUCGGAUUAGCUAGUUGGUGGGGUAAAGGCCUACCAAGGCGACGGUCUGUAGCGGGUCUGAGAGGAUGAUCCGCCACACGGGGACUGAGACACGGCCCAGACCCCGACGGGAGGCAGCAGUGGGGAAUAUUGGACAAUGGGGGGAACCCUGAUCCAGCCAUGCCGCGUGUGUGAAGAAGGCCUUAUGGUUGUAAAGCACUUUAAGCGAGGAGGAGGCUACUGAGACUAAUACUCUUGGAUAGUGGACGUUACUCGCAGAAUAAGCACCGGCUAACUCUGUGCCAGCCGCCGCGGUAA